RNAcentral lists this ribosomal RNA (439 nucleotides) under uncultured bacterium. RNAcentral describes it as "partial 16S ribosomal RNA". It matches the Rfam family "Bacterial small subunit ribosomal RNA", at positions 339 to 795 of the family's 1533-position model. The record is from RNAcentral.
CUACGGGUCGCAGCAGUGAGGAAUAUUGCACAAUGGGGGGAACCCUGAUGCAGCAACGCCGCGUGGAGGAUGACGCAUUUCGGUGUGUAAACUCCUUUUAUAUGUCAAGAAAAUGACGGUAGCAUAUGAAUAAGCACCGGCUAACUCCGUGCCAGCAGCCGCGGUAAUACGGAGGGUGCAAGCGUUACUCGGAAUCACUGGGCGUAAAGGGCGCGUAGGCUGUUUAGCAAGUCAGAUGUGAAAUCCAAUGGCUCAACCAUUGAACUGCAUUUGAAACUGCUAGACUAGAGUAUGGGAGGGGCAGAUGGAAUUAGUGGUGUAGGGGUAAAAUCCGUAGAUAUCACUAGGAAUACCUAAAGCGAAGGCGAUCUCCUGGAACAUUACUGACGCUAAGGCGUGAAAGCGUGGGGAGCAAACAGGAUUAGAUACCCCGGUAGUC